GGUGAACGCUGGCGGCGUGCCUAAUACAUGCCAGUCGAGCGAACGGACGAGAAGCUUGCUUCUCUGAUGUUAGCGGCGGACGGGUGAGUAACACGUGGAUAACCUACCUAUAAGACUGGGGUAACUUCGGGAAACCGGAGCUAAUACCGGAUAAUAUUUUGAACCGCAUGGUUCAAAAGUGAAAGACGGUCUUGCUGUCACUUAUAGAUGGAUCCGCGCUGCAUUAGCUAGUUGGUAAGGUAACGGCUUACCAAGGCAACGAUGCAUAGCCGACCCGAGAGCGUGAACGGCCAGACUGGAAGUGAGGAACGGUCCAGACUCCUACAGGAAGCAGCAGUAGGGAAUCUUACGCAAUGGGCGAAAGCCUGACGGAGCAACGCCGCGUGAGUGCUGAAGGUCUUCUGAUCGUAAAACUAUGUUAUUAGGAAAGAAGAUAUGUGUAAGUAACUGUGCACAUCUUGACGGUACCUAAUCAGAAAGCCACGGCUAACUACGUG
Molecule: ribosomal RNA, 497 nt
Filed under: uncultured bacterium
Lineage: Bacteria
Description: partial 16S ribosomal RNA
Rfam family: Bacterial small subunit ribosomal RNA
Source: RNAcentral